AAGGAAAAUUCGAGAGAUUUUGCAGACUGUAGAGAGAGAAAGGAGAGAAAAGAAGGGAAAUGGCUGCAUUUGAUGCGUUCAGUAUGGACGGUGAGGUACCGGCACCGGCGGCAUCAACACCGUUCGAUGAUGGAGACUACGACGGCUCUUACACCGCCUUCUCCAACGCCGAUACGCCGCCGUUUCACGGCUCUGGAGGAUUCGGUGGAGACUAUGACGAAGUAACGGUGGAACACGUAUCUCAUACCGUCGAUAGUCCCGAUCCCUACGGAUACGGGUCAGAUUCGUUUCCAAACCAAACCGGUUCAUUUGGAGCUUCUGCAGCUCCGAUCUCGAACGGGAAUGGUAAGCCCUACGAUCUAGGUGAAGAUACUGAGGGAAUUUUCAGUUCCGAUGGACCCGUUCUCCCCCCUCCGAAUGAAAUGCGUGAGGAAGGUUUUGCGCUCCGCGAAUGGCGAAGGCAAAAUGCUAUCCGUCUUGAGGAGAAGGAGAAGAGAGAAAAGGAAAUCAGAAGCCAAAUUAUUGAGGAAGGUGAAGAAUAUAAGAAAGCAUUCUAUGAGAAAAGAAAUCUCAGUAUUGAGACCAACAAGACAACUAACCGCGAGAAAGAAAAGCUGUACUUGACUAGUCAAGAGAAGUUCCAUAAAGAAGCUGAUAAGCAAUAUUGGAAAGCCAUAGCAGAGCUCAUUCCCAAGGAGGUGCCCAGCAUUGAGAAGAAGGGAAGGAAGAAGGAUCAAGAUAAGAAGCCAUCCAUCACAGUCGUCCAAGGGCCUAAACCUGGGAAACCUACCGAUCUUUCAAGGAUGCGCCACAUACUGCUGAAGCUUAAGCACACCCCACCACCUCACAUGAUACCACCCCCUCCUGCCCCUGCCAAGGACGCCAAAGUUGGGAAGGAUGGAAAAGACACCAAGGAUGCCAAAGCUGGAAAGGACGGAAAAGACACCAAGAAUGCUAAAGAUACUGUAGCACCAAAUGGGACUCCAGAUGCACCUACCAGUGAUGCCAAAGUUACUCAGACAUCAGAAGAACCUACUGCUGCAGAAUGAUCGGCUUUUAGCCUAAUUUCUUUAGUCUUUGAUGUUGUAAUGUGUUAUCCUCUUACAUAUACUCUUUUUUCUCUAUGAAUUUUGUAUCAUUUACUAUAUUUUGUGUCAUUCUACUACUAUUCUAUUGGUUCGUGACAGACAUUAGCUGCAUUUUGUUGCAUUGGAUGUCUGAGUUUGUUUAUUGUACUAUUUAGGUCCUUUCUUA
Molecule: unclassified non-coding RNA, 1254 nt
Filed under: Hevea brasiliensis (rubber tree)
Lineage: Eukaryota; Viridiplantae; Streptophyta; Magnoliopsida; Malpighiales; Euphorbiaceae
Source: RNAcentral